AAUAUCUGAUUUCUAGAGCUUUCUGUCUUCUUUCUGAGCUCCAUGGAGCAGCCAUUAAAUACCACUAGGGUUCUUGAAUAUUAGGGAUUUCAAAAUUUUUAAAGGUAUAAGUUAAAAAAAGUUGAGGAGGACAACCUUUACCUUGAAAAAUACAAGUCUUAGCAAAUGGUAAUUCAUUCCAGCAAGGUACAAGUACUCAACUAGUAAAUCUCUCCAAUAGUAGAACAUGAUACUCAGUGAUUGUUGGUGAGCUCCAGAUUUAUUUAGGGAUUUUUCGAGUCUUUACUAUGUAUAUAUUUUCAUAGUCGUGGAGUCAUGGAUUCAUGUAGAUACUUUGUAGGCAUUGUAAAUCUAUCAGGUGUAUUCA
This is a long non-coding RNA of Solanum lycopersicum (tomato), 367 nucleotides long. RefSeq lists it as uncharacterized. The record is from RefSeq and is a predicted model, not a curated record. Lineage: Eukaryota; Viridiplantae; Streptophyta; Magnoliopsida; Solanales; Solanaceae.